GGUUAAGCGACUAAGCGUACACGGUGGAUGCCCUGGCAGUCAGAGGCGAUGAAGGACGUGCUAAUCUGCGAAAAGCGUCGGUAAGGUGAUAUGAACCGUUAUAACCGGCGAUGUCCGAAUGGGGAAACCCAGUGUGAUUCGUCACACUAUCGUUAACUGAAUACAUAGGUUAACGAGGCGAACCGGGGGAACUGAAACAUCUAAGUACCCCGAGGAAAAGAAAUCAACCGAGAUUCCCCCAGUAGCGGCGAGCGAACGGGGAGCAGCCCAGAGUCUGAAUCAGCUUGUGUGUUAGUGGAACGGUCUGGAAAGUCCGACGGUACAGGGUGAUAGUCCCGUACACCAAAAUGCACAGGCUGUGAACUCGAAGAGUAGGGCGGGACACGUGGUAUCCUGUCUGAAUAUGGGGGGACCAUCCUCCAAGGCUAAAUACUCCUGACUGACCGAUAGUGAACCAGUACCGUGAGGGAAAGGCGAAAAGAACCCCGGCGAGGGGAGUGAAAAAGAACCUGAAACCGUGUACGUACAAGCAGUGGGAGCACCUUCGGGUGUGACUGCGUACCUUUUGUAUAAUGGGUCAGCGACUUAUAUUCUGUAGCAAGGUUAACCGUAUAGGGGAGCCGCAGGGAAACCGAGUCUUAACUGGGCGUUAAGUUGCAGGGUAUAGACCCGAAACCCGGUGAUCUAGCCAUGGGCAGGUUGAAGGUUGGGUAACACUAACUGGAGGACCGAACCGACUAAUGUUGAAAAAUUAGCGGAUGACUUGUGGCUGGGGGUGAAAGGCCAAUCAAACCGGGAGAUAGCUGGUUCUCCCCGAAAGCUAUUUAGGUAGCGCCUCGUGAACUCAUCUUCGGGGGUAGAGCACUGUUUCGGCUAGGGGGUCAUCCCGACUUACCAACCCGAUGCAAACUACGAAUACCGAAGAAUGUUAUCACGGGAGACACACGGCGGGUGCUAACGUCCGUCGUGAAGAGGGAAACAACCCAGACCGCCAGCUAAGGUCCCAAAGUCAUGGUUAAGUGGGAAACGAUGUGGGAAGGCACAGACAGCCAGGAUGUUGGCUUAGAAGCAGCCAUCAUUUAAAGAAAGCGUAAUAGCUCACUGGUCGAGUCGGCCUGCGCGGAAGAUGUAACGGGGCUAAACCAUGCACCGAAGCUGCGGCAGCGACACUAUGUGUUGUUGGGUAGGGGAGCGUUCUGUAAGCCUGCGAAGGUGACCUGUGAGGGUUGCUGGAGGUAUCAGAAGUGCGAAUGCUGACAUAAGUAACGAUAAAGCGGGUGAAAAGCCCGCUCGCCGGAAGACCAAGGGUUCCUGUCCAACGUUAAUCGGGGCAGGGUGAGUCGACCCCUAAGGCGAGGCCGAAAGGCGUAGUCGAUGGGAAACAGGUUAAUAUUCCUGUACUUGGUGUUACUGCGAAGGGGGGACGGAGAAGGCUAUGUUAGCCGGGCGACGGUUGUCCCGGUUUAAGCAUGUAGGCUGAUUGUCCAGGCAAAUCCGGAUAAUCAAGGCUGAGGUGUGAUGACGAGGCACUACGGUGCUGAAGUAACAAAUGCCCUGCUUCCAGGAAAAGCCUCUAAGCAUCAGGUAACAUUAAAUCGUACCCCAAACCGACACAGGUGGUCAGGUAGAGAAUACCAAGGCGCUUGAGAGAACUCGGGUGAAGGAACUAGGCAAAAUGGUGCCGUAACUUCGGGAGAAGGCACGCUGGUGUGUAGGUGAAGCCCCUGCGGGUGGAGCUGAGACCAGUCGAAGAUACCAGCUGGCUGCAACUGUUUAUUAAAAACACAGCACUGUGCAAACACGAAAGUGGACGUAUACGGUGUGACGCCUGCCCGGUGCCGGAAGGUUAAUUGAUGGGGUUAUCCGUAAGGAGAAGCUCUUGAUCGAAGCCCCGGUAAACGGCGGCCGUAACUAUAACGGUCCUAAGGUAGCGAAAUUCCUUGUCGGGUAAGUUCCGACCUGCACGAAUGGCGUAAUGAUGGCCAGGCUGUCUCCACCCGAGACUCAGUGAAAUUGAACUCGCUGUGAAGAUGCAGUGUACCCGCGGCAAGACGGAAAGACCCCGUGAACCUUUACUAUAGCUUGACACUGAACAUUGAGCCUUGAUGUGUAGGAUAGGUGGGAGGCUUUGAAGCGUGGACGCCAGUCUGCGUGGAGCCAACCUUGAAAUACCACCCUUUAAUGUUUGAUGUUCUAACGUUGGCCCCUGACCGGGGUUGCGGACAGUGUCUGGUGGGUAGUUUGACUGGGGCGGUCUCCUCCCAAAGCGUAACGGAGGAGCACGAAGGUUAGCUAAUCCUGGUCGGACAUCAGGAGGUUAGUGCAAUGGCAUAAGCUAGCUUGACUGCGAGCGUGACGGCGCGAGCAGGUGCGAAAGCAGGUCAUAGUGAUCCGGUGGUUCUGAAUGGAAGGGCCAUCGCUCAACGGAUAAAAGGUACUCCGGGGAUAACAGGCUGAUACCGCCCAAGAGUUCAUAUCGACGGCGGUGUUUGGCACCUCGAUGUCGGCUCAUCACAUCCUGGGGCUGAAGUAGGUCCCAAGGGUAUGGCUGUUCGCCAUUUAAAGUGGUACGCGAGCUGGGUUUAGAACGUCGUGAGACAGUUCGGUCCCUAUCUGCCGUGGGCGCUGGAGAAUUGAGGGGGGCUGCUCCUAGUACGAGAGGACCGGAGUGGACGCAUCACUGGUGUUCGGGUUGUCAUGCCAAUGGCACUGCCCGGUAGCUAAAUGCGGAAGAGAUAAGUGCUGAAAGCAUCUAAGCACGAAACUUGCCCCGAGAUGAGUUCUCCCUGAGACUUUAAGUCUCCUGAAGGAACGUUGAAGACGACGACGUUGAUAGGCCGGGUGUGUAAGCGCAGCGAUGCGUUGAGCUAACCGGUACUAAUGAACCGUGAGGCUUAACCUU
RNAcentral lists this ribosomal RNA (2902 nucleotides) under Klebsiella pneumoniae. RNAcentral's name for it is "23S ribosomal RNA". It matches the Rfam family "Bacterial large subunit ribosomal RNA". The record is from RNAcentral. Lineage: Bacteria; Pseudomonadati; Pseudomonadota; Gammaproteobacteria; Enterobacterales; Enterobacteriaceae.